CAACUUUGAGCGGUGGAUCACUCGGCUCGUGUGUCGAUGAAGAGUGCAGCCAACUGUGUGAAUUAAUGUGAACUGCAUACUGCUUUGAACAUCGACAUCUUGAACGCACAUUGCGGCUACGGGAUAUCCUGUGGCCACGUCUGUCCGAGGGUCGG
This 155-nucleotide ribosomal RNA is filed under the name Bilharziella polonica. Its description in RNAcentral is "5.8S ribosomal RNA". It matches the Rfam family "5.8S ribosomal RNA". From Rfam's summary of the family: 5.8S ribosomal RNA (5.8S rRNA) is a component of the large subunit of the eukaryotic ribosome. Lineage: Eukaryota; Metazoa; Platyhelminthes; Trematoda; Strigeidida; Schistosomatidae. The record is from RNAcentral.